This is a long non-coding RNA of Neofelis nebulosa (Clouded leopard), 655 nucleotides long. RefSeq lists it as uncharacterized. NCBI's taxonomy places the organism in Eukaryota, Metazoa, Chordata, Mammalia, Carnivora, Felidae. The transcript has 4 exons. The record is from RefSeq and is a predicted model, not a curated record.
UGCCCCCGGGGUCCCCAGUCGGCUUCUAGAGGACUGCGUGCAUGAAAUUCAUCUACACCCACCUCGACGAAAAUGUCCAAACCCGCUCCGCCAUCCUGAAUACUCUGUACGCGUACAGUGUAUUUUUAAAAGUAAAGGCAGAGGCAGAAUCUGUUCUUUGUCCACACACCGUCGGAGCAAUGCCCAACACAAAGCUGGCCAUCAAUCCUUUCUCGUUGAAGAGGCGAAUGAGGUGAACAAGCAAAUGAGCAGGAACCUGUAGCAACAUCAGCAUUUAAUUCAAGAAACCUUAUCUUGUGCGUCAAGAUCAGAGAUAAAGAUAAUUCCUUUCUCCAUCCUUUCCAAAUGCACAGGAAUCUUUUUAAUGGCCACAGAAGCCACUUGCCAGUCUUACAGCUCAAAGACCCAGGGGGCAUCUCUUUGUGUGUGAUCAUCUAGGAAGGUGACGCCCCAGCUUCCAGUUUUCCUUUUGGGGGAGAUGCGCCUAACUUCACCUGACUCCACAUCGUGGAACCCACCUGACAUAAACGAGUUAUCCACUUAGGUGCCCAAGAGAGAUGCUUUCUGUCUUUGCAGCCCCUCCAGCUGGUUGCCUGUGAUGCUCACACAUUCUGGUUUAACGCUGUUCAGUAAUAAACCUGUUUUCUUUCUCUUC